RNAcentral lists this ribosomal RNA (497 nucleotides) under uncultured bacterium. Its description in RNAcentral is "partial 16S ribosomal RNA". It matches the Rfam family "Bacterial small subunit ribosomal RNA", at positions 28 to 507 of the family's 1533-position model. The record is from RNAcentral.
GACGAACGCUGGCGGCGUGCCUAAUACAUGCAAGUUGAGCGAUGAAGAUUGGUGCUUGCACCAAUUUGAAGAGCAGCGAACGGGUGAGUAACGCGUGGGGAAUCUGCCUUUGAGCGGGGGACAACAUUUGGAAACGAAUGCUAAUACCGCAUAACAACUUUAAACAUAAGUUUUAAGUUUGAAAGAUGCAAUUGCAUCACUCAAAGAUGAUCCCGCGUUGUAUUAGCUAGUUGGUGAGGUAAAGGCUCACCAAGGCGAUGAUACAUAGCCGACCUGAGAGAGUGAUCGGCCACAUUGGGACUGAGACACGGCCCAAACUCCUACGGGAGGCAGCAGUAGGGAAUCUUCGGCAAUGGACGAAAGUCUGACCGAGCAACGCCGCGUGAGUGAAGAAGGUUUUCGGAUCGUAAAACUCUGUUGGUAGAGAAGAACGUUGGUGAGAGUGGAAAGCUCAUCAAGUGACGGUAACUACCCAGAAAGGGACGGCUAACUACGUG